AUGUGUGGGGCUUGCAUAUCACCCGGAAGGGGAGGAACCAGGUUUUCGUCAGAGGAGUUCUUGAAUGACCUCAGACCAGAUUGAAUGACCUCAGACCAGAAGGAAUAGGCCAGCAGCGAGAACACAGCCUAGAGCAGGCUAAG
This 143-nucleotide long non-coding RNA is filed under the name Mus spretus (western wild mouse). RNAcentral describes it as "lncRNA (ENSMSPG00010025938.1)". Lineage: Eukaryota; Metazoa; Chordata; Mammalia; Rodentia; Muridae. The record is from RNAcentral.